CCUACGGGGGGCAGCAGUGGGGAAUAUUGCACAAUGGGCGAAAGCCUGAUGCAGCAACGCCGCGUGAAGGAAGAAGGCCUUCGGGUCGUAAACUUCUGUCCUUGGGGAAGAAGAACUGACGGUACCCAAGGAGGAAGCCCCGGCUAACUACGUGCCAGCAGCCGCGGUAAUACGUAGGGGGCAGGCGUUAUCCGGAAUUAUUGGGUGUAAAGAGUACGUAGGUGGCAACCAAAGCGCAGGGUUUAAGGUAAGGGCUCAACCAUUGUUCGCCCUGCGAACUGGGAUGCUUGAGUGCAGGAGAGGAAAGCGGAAGUCCUAGUGUAGCGGUGAAAUGCGUAGAUAUUAGGAGGAACACCAGUGGCGAAGGCGGCUUUCUGGCACAUAACUGACGCUGAGGAGCGAAAGCGUGGGUAGCAAACAGGAUUAGAUACCCUAGUAGUC
This 441-nucleotide ribosomal RNA is filed under the name uncultured bacterium. RNAcentral's name for it is "partial 16S ribosomal RNA". It matches the Rfam family "Bacterial small subunit ribosomal RNA", at positions 338 to 795 of the family's 1533-position model. The record is from RNAcentral.